AUUGAACGCUGGCGGCAUGCCUUACACAUGCAAGUCGAACGGCAGCACGGGUGCUUGCACCUGGUGGCGAGUGGCGAACGGGUGAGUAAUACAUCGGAACAUGUCCUGUAGUGGGGGAUAGCCCGGCGAAAGCCGGAUUAAUACCGCAUACGAUCUACGGAUGAAAGCGGGGGACCUUCGGGCCUCGCGCUUUAGGGUUGGCCGAUGGCUGAUUAGCUAGUUGGUGGGGUAAAGGCCUACCAAGGCGACGAUCAGUAGCUGGUCUGAGAGGGCGACCAGCCACACUGGGACUGAGACACGGCCCAGACUCCUACGGGAGGCAGCAGUGGGGAAUUUUGGACAAUGGGCGAAAGCCUGAUCCAGCAAUGCCGCGUGUGUGAAGAAGGCCUUCGGGUUGUAAAGCACUUUUGUCCGGAAAGAAAUCCUUGGCCCUAAUACGGUCGGGGGAUGACGGUACCGGAAGAAUAAGCACCGGCUAACUACGUG
Molecule: ribosomal RNA, 486 nt
Filed under: uncultured bacterium
Lineage: Bacteria
Description: partial 16S ribosomal RNA
Rfam family: Bacterial small subunit ribosomal RNA
Source: RNAcentral